CGCGUAGGCGGCGCGGCGUGUCGGAUGUGAAAUCCCCGGGCUCAACCCGGGAAGUGCGUCCGAGACUGCCGCGCUCGAGUCCGGAAGGGGGAAUCGGAAUGCAGGGUGUAGCGGUGAAAUGCGUUGAUAUCCUGCAGAACACCGGAGGCGAAGGCGGAUUCCUUGUACGGCACUGACGCUGAGGCGCGAAAGUGGGGGAGCAAACA
Molecule: ribosomal RNA, 206 nt
Filed under: uncultured bacterium
Lineage: Bacteria
Description: partial 16S ribosomal RNA
Rfam family: Bacterial small subunit ribosomal RNA
Source: RNAcentral